Molecule: ribosomal RNA, 457 nt
Filed under: uncultured bacterium
Lineage: Bacteria
Description: partial 16S ribosomal RNA
Rfam family: Bacterial small subunit ribosomal RNA
Source: RNAcentral
CCUACGUGAGGCAGCAGUGGGGAAUAUUGCACAAUGGGGGAAACCCUGAUGCAGCGACGCCGCGUGAGUGAAGAAGUAUUUCGGUAUGUAAAGCUCUAUCAGCAGGGAAGAAACCCACCCUCCGGGGUGGCUGACGGUACCUGACUAAGAAGCCCCGGCUAAAUACGUGCCAGCAGCCGCGGUAAUACGUAGGGGGCAAGCGUUAUCCGGAUUUAAUGGGUGGAAAGGGGGCGUAGGUGGCAAGGCAAGUCAGAUGUGAAAACCCGGGGGCCAACCCCGGGAGGGCAUACGAAACUGGCUGGCUAGAGUGCAGGAGAGGUAAGUGGAAUUCCCAGUGUAGCGGUGAAAUGCGUAGAUAUUAGGAGGAACACCAGCGGCGAAGGCGGCUUACUGGACUGUAACUGACACUGAGGCUCGAAAGCGUGGGGAGCAAACAGGAUUAGAUACCCGGGUAGUC